This 253-nucleotide ribosomal RNA is filed under the name uncultured Oscillospira sp. Its description in RNAcentral is "partial 16S ribosomal RNA". It matches the Rfam family "Bacterial small subunit ribosomal RNA", at positions 524 to 776 of the family's 1533-position model. The record is from RNAcentral. Lineage: Bacteria; Bacillati; Bacillota; Clostridia; Eubacteriales; Oscillospiraceae.
UACGUAGGGGGCAAGCGUUAUCCGGAUUUACUGGGUGUAAAGGGAGCGCAGGCGGCGUGGCAAGUCAGAUGUGAAAACCAUGGGCUCAACCUGUGGCCUGCAUUUGAAACUGUUUUUCUUGAGUACUGGAGAGGCAGACGGAAUUCCUAGUGUAGCGGUGAAAUGCGUAGAUAUAUGGAAGAACACCAGUGGCGAAAGCGGCUUACUGGACUGUAACUGACGUUGAGGCUCGAAAGCGUGGGGAGCAAACAGG